GGGCUGCAGUGGGGAAUAUUGCACAAUGGGCGCAAGCCUGAUGCAGCCAUGCCGCGUGUGUGAAGAAGGCCUUCGGGUUGUAAAGCACUUUCAGUAAGGAGGAAAGGUUAAGUUUUAAUAGAGCUUAGCUGUGACGUUACUUACAGAAGAAGCACCGGCUAACUCCGUGCCAGCAGCCGCGGUAAUACGGAGGGUGCGAGCGUUAAUCGGAAUUACUGGGCGUAAAGCGUACGCAGGCGGUUUGUUAAGCGAGAUGUGAAAGCCCCGGGCUCAACCUGGGAACUGCAUUUCGAACUGGCAAACUAGAGUGUGAUAGAGGGUGGUAGAAUUUCAGGUGUAGCGGUGAAAUGCGUAGAGAUCUGAAGGAAUACCGAUGGCGAAGGCAGCCACCUGGGUCAACACUGACGCUCAUGUACGAAAGCGUGGGGAGCAAACAGGAUUAGAUACCCUGGUAGUC
RNAcentral lists this ribosomal RNA (457 nucleotides) under uncultured Pseudoalteromonas sp. Its description in RNAcentral is "bacterial SSU rRNA". It matches the Rfam family "Bacterial small subunit ribosomal RNA", at positions 346 to 795 of the family's 1533-position model. Lineage: Bacteria; Pseudomonadati; Pseudomonadota; Gammaproteobacteria; Alteromonadales; Pseudoalteromonadaceae. The record is from RNAcentral.